GAAGCGAUCCUGAAUCGGCCGAAGCAGCAGCGCGGUCGCGAGCGGGGCCCGGCUUUUCGUCUCGUCCGGCGUGAGGGGAGAGUGAUUGGGGUGAAGCUACCCUUCACUGUUGUACACCACCAUCAAGAGAGAGAAUUUACUUCAAAGGACGAAAUCCAAAGCAAAGCGAGCACUGUAUGUGGAAGAGAACAACGAAGGAGAUGAGACGAGGCCCCUGCCUUUAAAGAGCUGCCGACCUAAAGGAGGAAAGGAGUCAUAAAUUGUGGGAGCAGGGGAGAAUAUCAAGGAUAUCUAACAGUACAGAAUGCAAGCUGGAAAGCAGGGGGUGAAGAGAGCGAUGGAGAGAAAGCCGGAGGAGCGCCGUGAAGCCAAAGCAGCCCGGUGAUUAAAAUCAAGGGGUUCACCCUUGCUAGUGGUGUCCCUGCGUCUCCCGCGUCCGCCUGGGGCCGACUCGUGUCUGCGGGACAGGAUUGAGACCCGAGGCCCUGGUGGAACGCGUUUCCUAGCUUUCCGGAAACCGUCUUCGCACCUGGAUGGGGAGCCCCUGCAGGCCUCAACUCCAGGACAAGAUCCCAGUUGCCUGCGGCGUACCAAAGACCGGGGUGUAAUUAUGAGGCUCCAAGGUUGCCCGCAAGCGUAGCGCUUUACGUUGGGCUGCUCACCGAUGGAUGAAGUCGCCACGCUGCGAGUGUACGCCAGCCGCCUCUCGAACCAAACUGCUGGAUCCAGGAACUUCUCCAUGCAGAAAUAGCGGAACACCGGCUGAAAAUUAUUGCAGACCUCCAGGAAGGUUUCGUAUUUUUCUUCAAAGGAUUUCUUCUGUAUAUCCUUUUAAAUGAAUAGCAGAUGAUUAAAAGGCCGUUUCUGUCAUGAACUCAAUCAAAUCGUUAUGAUCCAAAAACCUCCUAAAUCCCUUGUGGUCACGAGAUUUGCUCCCUCAGUGGUCGGAUUUGAUCGCAAUGGGUUUGUUUUUUGUUUUGCAUUUAGGGGGAGGGGAAGUGGUGUCGCGUUAAACGUAAGGAGCCUCCCCUGCAAAAACAGGCCUCGCACAAUCUAUAAGGUUCCUGUGAAAGCUGAGGAGGAUGACAAAAAAAUAUAGCAUUCCUACAUGGGAUUUCUGUCCAUGUGAUGGAGUUGCUGGUAGUUUAAGGCCGUAAGCUCAUCGGGGGCAGGGAAUGUGUCUGUUUACUGUUGUACCGUACUCUCUCCCUGCACACGAUAAGGGCUCAAAUACUGCUGAAUGAAUGGAAUAAAUAAGGCAACAUAAGGUUUAUGAUCUGGGGCAGCGGGGGUCCCAACGUCAACAACUGAAGAGCAGCAGACCCAAACUAUAAUUUGGCCGAGACACUCCGAAAAAAAGAAAAAAAUUAAUUAGCCUGUGAGCAGGUGUCCUCAGAGAGGAGAGAAGGGAGUGGCACCGCCGGGAUGGCGGAGGCGACAUCGAAUAAAAGGUUGCCGAUGGAUCCAUCUGUCAGUCAAUGGUAUUUACUGAGCGCUUACUAUGUGCAGAGCACUGUCCUCAGCUCUGGGGACGGUACAGUACAGCAGAAUUAGCAGCCACGUUCCCUGCCCACAACGAGCUCACAGUGUAGAGGGGAUCUGAUCGUAGCCACCCCGUCUUCCUUCACUCAGUAUUUUCAGACGAGACGCUCGCAUCCUGAAGUACACUAGUCCUACGACGCGAAGGAAGCAUUUGAGAAAAGGCCAACGGUCCGACUACUACUUACCAUCAUUUUCUGCUGGCACUGUAGAGCACUGAAGUCCUUUGGCCUAUACCUCUUAUGGGCUCCAUUUUCACUGUUGACCAGGAAUUCGCCGAUGGGCACGGUCCCCGUGCACCACUCCAGGACCCCGCUUCGUUGAGACAGGGGAACCACCUAAAGGAGCCCAAGAAACAGCGUUAGGGGCAUCACGGGGCCUUCCGGGAGCUGCCGCGGCCCAACUCGGUCCAGCAGAACCCAGGAGGGUUUUUAUUUCCUUAUUUGCUUUUUAUUGAGGCUCUCUACGGAUUUACUUUGCCGCCCCCGGUUUCUGUGGCACAGCUAAGUGAGAAGCUCCUUUUAGCAUUCCUUCAUUAAUUCAAAUUUUUUGAGGUCUCACUGUAGGCAGAGCACUCUACUAAGCGCUGGGGAGAGUACAAUACAACCAAAACCAGACCUGUUCCCUGCCCACAACGACCUUACACUCAGCAAGCAGUAAACCUCAUUGGAACAAUAUAUUUUAGUUCAGC
Long non-coding RNA from Ornithorhynchus anatinus (platypus), 2230 nucleotides. RefSeq lists it as uncharacterized. Lineage: Eukaryota; Metazoa; Chordata; Mammalia; Monotremata; Ornithorhynchidae. The transcript is spliced from 7 exons. The record is from RefSeq and is a predicted model, not a curated record.